Non-coding RNA from Schizosaccharomyces pombe (fission yeast), 395 nucleotides. The record is from the annotation of a GenBank genome assembly. NCBI's taxonomy places the organism in Eukaryota, Fungi, Ascomycota, Schizosaccharomycetes, Schizosaccharomycetales, Schizosaccharomycetaceae.
CAAACCCAUGAACGGUUAUGGUUGCUCUGUCUUGUUUAUUCAGUAGAUGCAUAAAUUGCAUCCAUCGCAAAAUGUAGCGAUGUAUCAUGACUACGAUACAAGACUCGUUGGACUAAAUAGAAAACGAAAACGCCAAUUUGCAUUUCAUUAUUUAAACCUAACCAAAUGUAUUUAUUUAAAAAAAAAAAAAAAAAAAAAAAAGGUUACUAUUCAUGCUCCUUGACAAUUUCAUGAAACUAGGGAAUUAGCCUUGAAAGAACUACAUCAAAGUUGUUUUUUUCACUCUCUGUUAUGCAGGAUCGAGCAAAUUUUCUAUAUGUAACCAAUUUUACUAACGAAAGACAUAUGGAAAAAAUAUUAUUCAACGAGAUACGCCAUUUAAUAAAUGCAAUAGA